CAUGGCUUGGUUAUGGGUUGAGUCUCCCGUCAGUGCGAAAGUCGAGCUGGGCAGUAGUCCAUUUUCGGUGCCCGCUUCUGUCCUCUCCGGGAUCCGAGAGCCGAUCGUCGGGAUCCCCCAGAUAUUCACGCCGGGUCAUGGCGGUUCAGGAUUCCCCGGAAGCAAGCCAGGGAACAGCCCAGGAUGGGGCGCCAGCCCAUCACAGACCACACUCACACACCAUUCACUCACACAUUCAC
This is a long non-coding RNA of Brienomyrus brachyistius, 239 nucleotides long. RefSeq lists it as uncharacterized. The transcript is spliced from 3 exons. NCBI's taxonomy places the organism in Eukaryota, Metazoa, Chordata, Actinopteri, Osteoglossiformes, Mormyridae. The record is from RefSeq and is a predicted model, not a curated record.